CGGACGGGUGAGUAAUGUCUGGGAAACUGCCUGAUGGGAGGGGGAGUAACUACCGGAAACGGUAGCUAAUACCGCAUAACGUCGCAAGACCAAAGAGGGGGACCUUCGGGCCUCUUGCCAUCAGAUGUGCCCAGAUGGGAUUAGCUAGUAGGUGGGGUAACGGCUCACCUAGGCGACGAUCCCUAGCUGGUCUGAGAGGAUGACCAGCCACACUGGAACUGAGACACGGUCCAGACUCCUACGGGAGGCAGCAUG
RNAcentral lists this ribosomal RNA (255 nucleotides) under uncultured bacterium. RNAcentral describes it as "partial 16S ribosomal RNA". It matches the Rfam family "Bacterial small subunit ribosomal RNA", at positions 99 to 353 of the family's 1533-position model. The record is from RNAcentral.